Molecule: ribosomal RNA, 460 nt
Filed under: uncultured bacterium
Lineage: Bacteria
Description: partial 16S ribosomal RNA
Rfam family: Bacterial small subunit ribosomal RNA
Source: RNAcentral
CCUACGGGAGGCUGCAGUGAGGAAUAUUGGUCAAUGGACGAGAGUCUGAACCAGCCAAGUAGCGUGAAGGAUGACUGCCCUAUGGGUUGUAAACUUCUUUUAUAUGGGAAUAAAAUGUUCCACGUGUGGGAUUUUGUAUGUACCAUAUGAAUAAGGAUCGGCUAACUCCGUGCCAGCAGCCGCGGUAAUACGGAGGAUCCGAGCGUUAUCCGGAUUUAUUGGGUUUAAAGGGAGCGUAGGUGGAUUGUUAAGUCAGUUGUGAAAGUUUGCGGCUCAACCGUAAAAUUGCAGUUGAAACUGGCAGUCUUGAGUAAAGUAGAGGUGGGCGGAAGUCGUGGUGUAGCGGUGAAAUGCUUAGAUAUCACGAAGAACUCCGAUUGCGAAGGCAGUUCACUGGACUGCAACUGACACUGAGGCUCGAAAGUGUGGGUAUCAAACAGGAUUAGAUACCCCAGUAGUC